RNAcentral lists this ribosomal RNA (487 nucleotides) under uncultured bacterium. RNAcentral describes it as "bacterial SSU rRNA". It matches the Rfam family "Bacterial small subunit ribosomal RNA", at positions 28 to 531 of the family's 1533-position model. The record is from RNAcentral.
GAUGAACGUUGGCGGCGUGCCUAAUACAUGCAAGUCGAACGAAGACUGUAGUAAUACUGUCUUAGUGGCGAACGGGUGAGUAACGCGUGGGUGACCUGCCCCGAAGUGUGGGAUAACAGUCCGAAAGGAUUGCUAAUACUGCAUAAUAUCCAAGAGAUUAGAUGCUUUUUGGAUUAAAGGAGUAAUUCGCUUCGGGAGGGGCCCGCGUCCCAUCAGCUAGUUGGUAAGGUAAUGGCUUACCAAGGCGAUGACGGGUAGGGGACCUGAGAGGGUGGCCCCCCACAAUGGAACUGAAACACGGUCCAUACACCUACGGGUGGCAGCAGUAGGGAAUAUUAGUAAUGGGCGAAAGCCUGAACUAGCAACGCCGCGUGUGCGAAGAAGGCCUUCGGGUUGUAAAGCACUUUUGAGAGGAUGAGGAAGGACGGUACUCUCAGAAUAAGUCUCGGCUAACUACGUGCCAGCAGCCGCGGUAAGAUCACGUGUA